RNAcentral lists this ribosomal RNA (524 nucleotides) under uncultured bacterium. RNAcentral describes it as "partial 16S ribosomal RNA". It matches the Rfam family "Bacterial small subunit ribosomal RNA", at positions 28 to 523 of the family's 1533-position model. The record is from RNAcentral.
GACGAACGCCGGCGGCGUGCCUAAUACAUGCAAGUCGAGCGCAGGAAAUCGACGGAACCCUUCGGGGGGAAGUCGACGGAAUGAGCGGCGGACGGGUGAGUAACACGUAAAGAACCUGCCCUCAGGUCUGGGAUAACCACGAGAAAUCGGGGCUAAUACCGGAUGGGUCAUCGGACCGCAUGGUCCGAGGAUGAAAGGCGUUUCGGCGUCGCCUGGGGAUGGCUUUGCGGUGCAUUAGCUAGUUGGUGGGGUAAUGGCCCACCAAGGCGACGAUGCAUAGCCGACCUGCGAGGGUGAUCGGCCACACUGGGACUGAGAUACGGCCCAGACUCCUACGGGAGGCAGCAGUAGGGAAUCUUCCACGAUGGACGAAAGUCUGAUGGAGCCACGCCGCGUGAACGAUGAAGGCCUUCGGGUCGUAAAGUUCUGUUGUAAGGGAAGAACAAGUGCCGCAGGCAAUGGCGGCACCUUGACGGUACCUUGCGAGAAAGCCACGGCUAACUACGUGCCAGCCGCCGCGGUAA